CCCUUAGAUGUUCUGGGCCGCACGCGUGCUACACUGAGUGGAUCAGCGGGUCAGGUUGCGCGAAAGUGUUUCCUAAUCUUUAAAUCCGCUCGUGAUGGGGAUUGACGGUUGCAAUUUUCCGUCAUGAACGAGGAAUACCUUGUAAGCGCGGGUCAUCAUCCCGCGCUGAAUACGUCCCUGCCCUUUGUACACACCGCCCGUCGCUCCUACCGAUUGAGUGGUCCGGUGAGGCUUUGGGAUCUGAGCGGAAAGAGCGUUUCGCUGUUUCUGCCCGGAAAACUCAGUCGAACCUUAUCAUUUGGAGGAAGGAGAAGUCGUAACA
RNAcentral lists this ribosomal RNA (322 nucleotides) under uncultured eukaryote. RNAcentral describes it as "partial 18S ribosomal RNA". It matches the Rfam family "Eukaryotic small subunit ribosomal RNA", at positions 1470 to 1796 of the family's 1831-position model. The record is from RNAcentral.